This 250-nucleotide ribosomal RNA is filed under the name uncultured bacterium. RNAcentral's name for it is "partial 16S ribosomal RNA". It matches the Rfam family "Bacterial small subunit ribosomal RNA", at positions 524 to 773 of the family's 1533-position model. The record is from RNAcentral.
GACAGAGGUGGCAAGCGUUGUUCGGAAUCACUGGGCUUAAAGGGCGCGUAGGCGGUAUUGCAAGUGUGGGGUGGAAUUCCAGGGCUCAACCCUGGAACUGCCCUGCAGACUGCAGUACUUGAGUCAGCGAGGGGAAGGCGGAAUUCCUGGUGUAGCGGUGAAAUGCGUAGAUAUCAGGAGGAAGGCCUGUGGCGAAGGCGGCCUUCUGGCGCUAGACUGACGCUGAGGCGCGAAAGCGUGGGGAGCAAAC